GACGAACGCUGGCGGCGUGCUUAACACAUGCAAGUCGAGCGAGACCCCUUCUUCGGGAGGGUGUUCUAGCGGCGAACGGGUGAGUAACACGUGGGCAACCUGCCCUCAGCUCUGGGAUAACUCCAAGAAAUUGGGGCUAAUACCGGAUAUGACCGCUGACCGCAUGGUCUGGUGGUGGAAAGAUUUAUCGGCUGGGGAUGGGCCCGCGGCCUAUCAGCUUGUUGGUGGGGUAGUGGCCACCAAGGCGACGACGGGUAGCCGGCCUGAGAGGGUGACCGGCCACACUGGGACUGAGACACGGCCCAGACUCCUACGGGAGGCAGCAGUGGGGAAUAUUGCGCAAUGGGCGGAAGCCUGACGCAGCGACGCCGCGUGGGGAUGACGGCCUCGGUUGUAA
This 397-nucleotide ribosomal RNA is filed under the name uncultured bacterium. RNAcentral describes it as "bacterial SSU rRNA". It matches the Rfam family "Bacterial small subunit ribosomal RNA", at positions 28 to 428 of the family's 1533-position model. The record is from RNAcentral.